This 662-nucleotide ribosomal RNA is filed under the name uncultured bacterium. Its description in RNAcentral is "bacterial SSU rRNA". It matches the Rfam family "Bacterial small subunit ribosomal RNA", at positions 397 to 1051 of the family's 1533-position model. The record is from RNAcentral.
GCGCGUGUGUGAAGAAGGCCUUCGGGUUGUAAAGCACUUUUGUCAGGAACGAAACGGUGGGGGCUAAACCUCCUGCUAAUGACGGUACCUGAAGAAUAAGCACCGGCUAACUACGUGCCAGCAGCCGCGGUAAUACGUAGGGUGCGAGCGUUAAUCGGAAUUACUGGGCGUAAAGCGUGCGCAGGCGGUUGUGCAAGACAGAUGUGAAAUCCCCGGGCUUAACCUGGGAAUGGCAUUUGUGACUGCACGGCUAGAGUGUGUCAGAGGGGGGUAGAAUUCCACGUGUAGCAGUGAAAUGCGUAGAUAUGUGGAGGAAUACCGAUGGCGAAGGCAGCCCCCUGGGAUAACACUGAUGCUCAGGCACGAAAGCGUGGGGAGCAAACAGGAUUAGAUACCCUGGUAGUCCACGCCCUAAACGAUGUCAACUAGUUGUCGGGUCUUAAUUGACUUGGUAACGCAGCUAACGCGUGAAGUUGACCGCCUGGGGAGUACGGUCGCAAGAUUAAAACUCAAAGGAAUUGACGGGGACCCGCACAAGCGGUGGAUGAUGUGGAUUAAUUCGAUGCAACGCGAAAAAGCUUACCUACCCUUGACAUGUCAGGAACCCCGCUGAGAGGUGGGGGUGCUCGAAAGAGAGCCUGAACACAGGUGCUGCAUGGCUG